GGCUGGUUAGCUCAGUUGGUUAGAGCAUGGUGUCAAUAACGCCAGGGUCCAAGGUUCAAUCCCUGCACUGGCCA
Cynocephalus volans (Philippine flying lemur) is the source of this 74-nucleotide non-coding RNA. The record is from the annotation of a RefSeq genome assembly. Lineage: Eukaryota; Metazoa; Chordata; Mammalia; Dermoptera; Cynocephalidae.